Ribosomal RNA from Bacteroides reticulotermitis JCM 10512, 111 nucleotides. The record is from Rfam. NCBI's taxonomy places the organism in Bacteria, Pseudomonadati, Bacteroidota, Bacteroidia, Bacteroidales, Bacteroidaceae.
UUAGGUGGUUAUAGCACGAGGGUUCCACCUCUUCCCAUUCCGAACAGAGAAGUUAAGCCUCGUCACGCCGAUGGUACUGCGUAAUUGUGGGAGAGUAGGUAGCCGCCGUUU